CCGCACGCGGGAGGCUCUGACACGCGGCCCACACUCGGCCGCCGGGACCGCGCCGAGCCACUGGCGAGACCGAUCCGCGGGAGG
RNAcentral lists this non-coding RNA (84 nucleotides) under unclassified sequences. RNAcentral describes it as "c-di-GMP sequence". It matches the Rfam family "c-di-GMP-II-GAG riboswitch aptamer". The record is from Rfam by way of RNAcentral.